AUCCAGCUGAGGAGUCCCAAAUCAGAUGAAACGCGCGUCUUGGGU
Schistosoma curassoni is the source of this 45-nucleotide non-coding RNA. Lineage: Eukaryota; Metazoa; Platyhelminthes; Trematoda; Strigeidida; Schistosomatidae. The record is from Rfam.